GCCGAAGUGGCGAAACUGGCAGACGCACAGGACUUAAAAUCCUGCGGUUAGAAAUAACCGUACCGGUUCGAUUCCGGUCUUCGGCACCA
This 89-nucleotide transfer RNA is filed under the name Filifactor alocis. RNAcentral's name for it is "tRNA-Leu". It matches the Rfam family "tRNA". Rfam says of the family: Transfer RNA (tRNA) molecules are approximately 80 nucleotides in length. Their secondary structure includes four short double-helical elements and three loops (D, anti-codon, and T loops). Lineage: Bacteria; Bacillati; Bacillota; Clostridia; Peptostreptococcales; Filifactoraceae. RNAcentral also lists the same sequence under 1 other name. The record is from RNAcentral.